This 400-nucleotide ribosomal RNA is filed under the name phytoplankton environmental sample. RNAcentral's name for it is "partial small subunit ribosomal RNA". It matches the Rfam family "Eukaryotic small subunit ribosomal RNA", at positions 587 to 995 of the family's 1831-position model. The record is from RNAcentral.
AGCUCCAAUAGCGUAUAUUAAAGUUGUUGCAGUUAAAAAGCUCGUAGUUGGAUUUCUGGGUCUUGACGGCGGUUCGCCUUGUGUGAUACUAGCUGUUGGGGCUCAUCCUCUCGAAGACGCGUCGUGUCCUUCACUGGAUGCGGCGUGGACUCGGGACUUUUACUUUGAAAAAAUUAGAGUGUUCAAAGCAGGCUUACGCUUGAAUACUUCAGCAUGGAAUAAUGGAAUAGGACCUCGGUCUUAUUUUGUUGGUUUCUAAGACCGAAGUAAUGAUUAAAAGGGACAGUUGGGGGCAUUAGUAUUUCAUUGUCAGAGGUGAAAUUCUUAGAUUUAUGAAAGACUAACUACUGCGAAAGCAUUUGCCAAGGAUGUUUUCAUUAAUCAAGAACGAAAGUACGCA